RNAcentral lists this ribosomal RNA (981 nucleotides) under Planorbulinella sp. 358. RNAcentral's name for it is "SSU rRNA". It matches the Rfam family "Eukaryotic small subunit ribosomal RNA", at positions 1248 to 1828 of the family's 1831-position model. Lineage: Eukaryota; Foraminifera; Rotaliida; Planorbulinidae. The record is from RNAcentral.
CUAUUAUGCUGAUGUCUCUGUACUGCAGCAUAUGUUAAAUAUGCUAGUCCUUUCAUGAUUAUGUGAUAGGUGGUGCAUGGCCGUUCUUAGUUCGUGGAGUGAUCUGUCUGCUUAAUUGCGUUUCACUAAGGGUCCAUAUAAUUAUGUACGUUGCGGCGCUUUGACCCCUAUGCAUCUGCUCAUCGUUAGUUAGUAUGCUAUAGCGCGAGUCUCUGUCUGCUUAGCUCGUGCGGUUGGAUCCUGAAAGCAACGAACGUGACCGCAACCUCUUGUUGCCUUUAAUACUACACAACAAUGCGUCAUCUACUAUUUUGUAGUAUGACCAUUGUAAAAAAGGCUUUUUAAACUAGAGGGACCGCUGUUACUUUCUUAAACCAGAGGAAGGUUGCGGCAAUAACAGGUCUGUGAUGCCCUUAAUGUUCCAGGCUGCACACGUGCUACAAUGAUUAUUGCAGUGAGCAUCUCAUUUUUAACACAUCGCAAGCGCGAGUCCAUUUAUGCAGGUUCUAGCUUAUCAUGGUUAGUAAUCUGUUUUAAAUGUGUAUCUCUGCGCGCGAUAAAGCCUGCUUCGAAAGUAAGUGGGUAAUCAAUUAGAAGUAAUGAUUUCCAUUUUUUUACAGCACGAAUAUAUGUGGCGACUUUUCUCCAGCCAGCCUUGUUGCUGGAUUCUUGUGUGAAUUGUUGUUUUUUUAUCCACAUGUGCAAUUGUCAAUUCAUGGUGGGGACAGACCAUUGUUAAUUGUUGGUCUCGGUCUUAACUAGGAAUGCCUUGUACGGGUCUUUGGUUCAACAAACCACCCGGAAUACGUCCCUGCCCUUUGUACACACCGCCCGCCGCUCUUACCGAUGGACUUCUCUGUGAGUUUCAAGGACUGGGGUUUCAUUUAUUUGCUAACUCUAUGGAAAUUGAAACGAACAGUGUGGUCUAAAGGAAAGAGAAGUCGUAACAAGGCAUCGGUAGGUGAACCUGCAGAAGGAUCA